CCCUUAGAUGUCCUGGGCGGCACGCGCGCUACAAUGACAGUUUCAUCGAGCUUACAACCUCGACCGAUAGGUCCGGGUAAUCUUUUCAAAGACUGUCGUGAUGGGGAUUGCUGAUUGCAAUUUUUCAGCACCAACGAGGAAUUCCUAGUAAACGCGAGUCAUCAACUCGCAUUGAUUACGUCCCUGCCCUUUGUACACACCGCCCGUCGCUACUACCGAUUGAAUGGCUUAGUGAGAUAUACGGACAGCUGCAGUUGCGGUUCGCCGCUUCAGCGGAUGGAAGUAUAUCAAACUUGAUCAUUUAGAGGAAGUAAAANUCGUAACA
RNAcentral lists this ribosomal RNA (325 nucleotides) under uncultured eukaryote. RNAcentral describes it as "partial 18S ribosomal RNA". It matches the Rfam family "Eukaryotic small subunit ribosomal RNA", at positions 1470 to 1796 of the family's 1831-position model. The record is from RNAcentral.